UACGAAGGGGGCUAGCGUUGCUCGGAAUCACUGGGCGUAAAGGGCGCGUAGGCGGCCAUUCAAGUCGGGGGUGAAAGCCCAGGGCUCAACCCUGGAAUUGCCUUCGAUACUGUUUGGCUAGAGACCGGAAGAGGUAAGUGGAACUGCGAGUGUAGAGGUGAAAUUCGUAGAUAUUCGCAAGAACACCAGUGGCGAAGGCGGCUUACUGGUCCGGUUCUGACGCUUAGGCGCGAAAGCGUGGGGAGCAAACAGG
This 253-nucleotide ribosomal RNA is filed under the name uncultured bacterium. RNAcentral's name for it is "partial 16S ribosomal RNA". It matches the Rfam family "Bacterial small subunit ribosomal RNA", at positions 524 to 776 of the family's 1533-position model. The record is from RNAcentral.